UGAGGAAUAUUGGACAAUGGGCGCAAGCCUGAUCCAGCCAUGCCGCGUGCAGGAAGUAGCAUCUAUGGUGUGUAAACUGCUUUUGUACGGGAAGAAACACUCCUACGUGUAGGAGCUUGACGGUACCGUAAGAAUAAGGAUCGGCUAACUCCGUGCCAGCAGCCGCGGUAAUACGGAGGAUCCAAGCGUUAUCCGGAAUCAUUGGGUUUAAAGGGUCCGUAGGCGGUUUAGUAAGUCAGCGGUGAAAGCCCAUCGCUCAACGAUGGAACGGCCAUUGACACUGCUAGACUUGAGUUAUUAGGAAGUAACUAGAAUAUGUAGUGUAGCGGUGAAAUGCUUAGAUGUUACAUGGAAUACCAAUUGCGAAGGCAGGUUACUACUAAUGGAUUGACGCUGAUGGACGAAAGCGUGGGGAGCGAACA
Molecule: ribosomal RNA, 422 nt
Filed under: uncultured bacterium
Lineage: Bacteria
Description: bacterial SSU rRNA
Rfam family: Bacterial small subunit ribosomal RNA
Source: RNAcentral